RNAcentral lists this ribosomal RNA (474 nucleotides) under uncultured eubacterium WR825. RNAcentral's name for it is "bacterial SSU rRNA". It matches the Rfam family "Bacterial small subunit ribosomal RNA", at positions 9 to 527 of the family's 1533-position model. The record is from RNAcentral.
GAGUUUGAUCAUGGCUCAGAGCGAACGCUGGCGGCAGGCUUAACACAUGCAAGUCGAGCGGGCGUAGCAAUACGUCAGCGGCAGACGGGUGAGCAACGCGUGGGAACGUACCUUUUGGUUCGGAACAACACAGGGAAACUUGUGCUAAUACCGGAUAAGCCCUUACGGGGAAAGAUUUAUCGCCGAAAGAUCGGCCCGCGUCUGAUUAGCUAGUUGGUGAGGUAAUGGCUCACCAAGGCGACGAUCAGUAGCUGGUCUGAGAGGAUGAUCAGCCACAUUGGGACUGAGACACGGCCCAAACUCCUACGGGAGGCAGCAGUGGGGAAUAUUGGACAAUGGGCGCAAGCCUGAUCCAGCCAUGCCGCGUGAGUGAUGAAGGCCCUAGGGUUGUAAAGCUCUUUUGUGCGGGAAGAUAAUGACGGUACCACAAGAAUAAGCCCCGGCUAACUUCGUGCCAGCAGCCGCGGUAAUACG